Molecule: ribosomal RNA, 232 nt
Filed under: uncultured bacterium
Lineage: Bacteria
Description: partial 16S ribosomal RNA
Rfam family: Bacterial small subunit ribosomal RNA
Source: RNAcentral
CGGACGGGUGAGUAAUGUCUGGGAAACUGCCUGAUGGAGGGGGAUAACUACUGGAAACGGUAGCUAAUACCGCAUAACGUCGCAAGACCAAAGAGGGGGACCUUCGGGCCUCUUACCAUCGGAUGUGCCCAGAUGGGAUUAGCUAGUAGGUGGGGUAACGGCUCACCUAGGCGACGAUCCCUAGCUGGUCUGAGAGGAUGACCAGCCACACUGGAACUGAGACACGGUCCAG